RNAcentral lists this unclassified non-coding RNA (311 nucleotides) under Ramaria decurrens. RNAcentral's name for it is "partial contains 5.8S ribosomal RNA, internal transcribed spacer 2, and large subunit ribosomal RNA". Lineage: Eukaryota; Fungi; Basidiomycota; Agaricomycetes; Gomphales; Gomphaceae. The record is from RNAcentral.
CGCAUCUUGCGCCCCUUGGUAUUCCGAGGGGCAUGCCUGUUUGAGCGUCGUGAAACCCAUCGACCCUCGGCCUUGUAAUGGGGCUUCGGGGCGGAUUUGGGCGUCGCGGUCCCGUCGAAGGGGUCCGCCCGCCUUGAAAUGCAUCGGCCGGUCUCUAGCGUUUCGGGCCUGGACGGCGGCGUGAUAAGGCGCUCUCGUGCUGUAAUCGUCGCCCGUGGUCCCGGGGCUGAGGGGCGGCCUCUAAUGGUCUUCGGACGCUUCGCUUCGCGAUCUGUGACCUCAAAUCAGGCAGGACUACCCGCCGAACUUAA